GUUCUCUAGUUUUUAUUGUCGUGUAUACCUGGGCUCGUUCCAGCUGGUGGAGUCUUUACCGCCGUGGGAAGAACACUAAGAAGCAAUGGUCCAUAUUUCCCGGAAAGUCUUGGAGCCUUAUAAGGGAAGCCUAGUUUGCUGGGCUUGCUGGGUUCCAUGUCACAUGGCAAAGCAUGGUGUGAAUCUUUGUCCAAAGAGUAGGCCACAACAACCACGUUUUCUUGAGGAAGCUCAAGCUCCAAAAGUGGUUCAUUGGCUGCAAGGUUCAGUGGCUUGUUCAAGGGCCUAGCUGAAGAAGAAGAUGGGAAAGAUACGAUGAGAGACAUGAAGAAGAAGACUAGUAUUGGUGUAAGAUAGCAGCAAGAUUUUGCCAUUUUGAGAGAGAUCUAGUAUGAACGCUUUGGUGGAAUUCUUUGAUGAAUUGGGA
This is a long non-coding RNA of Quercus robur (English oak), 427 nucleotides long. RefSeq lists it as uncharacterized. NCBI's taxonomy places the organism in Eukaryota, Viridiplantae, Streptophyta, Magnoliopsida, Fagales, Fagaceae. The record is from RefSeq and is a predicted model, not a curated record. The transcript is spliced from 2 exons.